Molecule: non-coding RNA, 234 nt
Organism: Streptomyces pactum
Lineage: Bacteria; Bacillati; Actinomycetota; Actinomycetes; Kitasatosporales; Streptomycetaceae
Source: Rfam
AGCUGGUUCGUCCCGUCAGCCGGACGGGACGUCGCAAGAGGGAACCCGGUGGGAAUCCGGGACUGCCCCGCAGCGGUGAGCGGGAACGACCGCCGUCAUACGCACUGGGUCCGACACACGGGACCCGGGAAGCGACGGCCAGUAGGUGUCCUCCUCGGUGCACGACCCGUACGAGUUGGUACGGGUCGAGCCCUCCGACGAGAGCGUGCCCGCGAGUCCGAAGACCUGCCAACU